CAAAGGCAAUACACAAACUCAUGGACAAAACACCCCCAAUCACACCGAUCCACAUACAUUAAACACACAAAGCCACAUACUCACACAGACACCUUCAUACACAAAUACAUGGCACACACACACACACGUAUACAGAACACACACACACACAUAUUCACAAACAGUAUAUCAGCAUAUACAGAGACACACGUACACUGUCAUGUCACUGUCACAUUUUUGCAGUGCAAAUAUGUAAGCUGUUUAAUAUGAAAUGCAUAAAGAGUCUAAAUAUCUCCCAUGUGAGC
Pelobates cultripes (western spadefoot toad) is the source of this 284-nucleotide non-coding RNA. The record is from the annotation of a GenBank genome assembly. Lineage: Eukaryota; Metazoa; Chordata; Amphibia; Anura; Pelobatidae.